Molecule: ribosomal RNA, 468 nt
Filed under: uncultured bacterium
Lineage: Bacteria
Description: partial 16S ribosomal RNA
Rfam family: Bacterial small subunit ribosomal RNA
Source: RNAcentral
GACGAACGCUGGCGGCGUGCUUAACACAUGCAAGUCGAACGGAAAGGCCCUGCUUUUGUGGGGUGCUCGAUUGGCGAACGGGUGAGUAACACGUGAGUAACCUGCCCUUGACUUUGUGAUAACUUCAGGAAACUGGGGCUAAUACCGGAUAGGAGCUCCUGCUGCAUGGGGGGGGUUGGAAAGUUUCGGCGGUUGGGGAUCGACUCGCGGCUUAUCAGCUUGUUGGUGGGGUAGGUGCUUACCAAGGCUUUGACGGGUAGCCGGCCUGAGAGGGUGGCCGGCCACAUUGCGACUGAGAGACGGACCAGAAUCGUACGGGAGGCAGCAGUGGGGAGUCUUGCACAAUGAGCGGAAGUCUGAUGCAGAAACGCCGCGUGCGGGAUGACGGCUUUCGGGUUGUAAACAGCUUUGGACUGUGCCGAAGCGUGAGUGACGGUAAUGGGUAAGGAAGCAACGGCUAACUACGUG